GCAAGAGAGAAAAAGGAGAGGAAGAAGACGAUAAAGAUAUCAGAAACAACAAUGGAAUGCCGCAAGAGAGAAAAAGAAGAGGUGUCGCAAGCGAGAAAAAGAAGAGGUGUCGCAAGAGAAAAAGGAGAAGAGGAAGACGAUAUCAGAAACUGAAUGUCGCGAAGAGUUUGCGGUUUAUUUAAAAUGAAAUUGGGCGUCGGUUGCUCCAGAAACCGACGUCUAUAGUCACAUAGACGUCGGUUAUCCCAUUAAUAUGACGUCCAAGUUAACAUUUAAACUGACUUUUUGAAUACCCAUUAGACGUCGGUUUUGAGGGGAGCCGAUGUCUAGGAAGCUAAACGGAUUGAU
Molecule: long non-coding RNA, 348 nt
Filed under: Vigna radiata
Lineage: Eukaryota; Viridiplantae; Streptophyta; Magnoliopsida; Fabales; Fabaceae
Description: long non-coding RNA (VRAD_LNC006693)
Source: RNAcentral